RNAcentral lists this ribosomal RNA (447 nucleotides) under uncultured bacterium. RNAcentral's name for it is "bacterial SSU rRNA". It matches the Rfam family "Bacterial small subunit ribosomal RNA", at positions 355 to 825 of the family's 1533-position model. The record is from RNAcentral.
UGGGGAAUAUUGGACAAUGGGCGCAAGCCUGAUCCAGCCAUGCCGCGUGAGUGAAGAAGGCCUUAGGGUUGUAAAACUCUUUCGCCGGGGAAGAUAAUGACGGUACCCGGAGAAGAAGCUCCGGCUAACUUCGUGUCAGCAGCCGCGGUAAUACGAAGGGAGCUAGCGUUGUUCGGAAUUACUGGGCGUAAAGCGCACGUAGGCGGACUUGUCAGUCAGGGGUGAAAUCCCAAGGCUCAACCUUGGAACUGCCUCCGAUACAGCAAGCCUAGAGAUCGGGAGAGGUGAGUGGAAUUCCUAGUGUAGAGGUGAAAUUCGUAGAUAUUAGGAAGAACACCAGUGGCGAAGGCGGCUCACUGGCCCGAUACUGACGCUGAGGUGCGAAAGCGUGGGGAGCAAACAGGAUUAGAUACCCCCGUAGUCCCUGAGCGGGCUGGCAAGGCGCAU